GACGAACGCUGGCGGCGUGCCUAACACAUGCAAGUCGAACGAGAAUCGACGGAUUGAGACUUCGGUUGAUUGAAGUUGAGGAAAGUGGCGAACGGGUGAGUAACGCGUGAGAAACCUGCCUUUCAGUGGGGGACAACAGUUGGAAACGACUGCUAAUACCGCAUAAUGUAUCGAGGGGGCAUCCUCUUGAUACCAAAGCUUUAUGUGCUGAAAGAUGGUCUCGCGUCUGAUUAGCUUGUUGGCGGGGUAACGGCCCACCAAGGCGACGAUCAGUAGCCGGUCUGAGAGGAUGAACGGCCACAUUGGGACUGAGAUACGGCCCAGACUCCUACGGGAGGCAGCAGUGGGGAAUAUUGGGCAAUGGGGGAAACCCUGACCCAGCAACGCCGCGUGAAGGAAGAAGGCCUCGGGUUGUAAACGUCCUGUCCUAAGUGAAGAGAAGAAGACGGUAGCUUAGGAGGAAGCCCGGCUAACUACGUG
This 480-nucleotide ribosomal RNA is filed under the name uncultured bacterium. RNAcentral describes it as "bacterial SSU rRNA". It matches the Rfam family "Bacterial small subunit ribosomal RNA", at positions 28 to 507 of the family's 1533-position model. The record is from RNAcentral.